AUUCUUGAUCAUCUUUAAGAACUGACUAAAUUCUCUGCUUCUCUGGUAGGCUUCACUGCAUUCCCCACCUCCGCCACAGUGAGAGUUCUAUCCUGUCUGAGCCCAUUGUACCCAAUGCCUAGCUCUCCUGUGCCCCAUUCUAUUGCAACUGAUCCCUUUGUAAACUUUAAGCCCCUCCUGUUUAGGAAUACUGGUUUGCUGACUGUUUUCCCCAGUAAAUCAUAAUACUCUUAUGAGUAAAAAAGUCAUAGUUCAUCUCUGCCUGGGUUGCCUAGGACAAAUUCUGUUCACCUUAAGUACUUAGUAAGCCUGUUUAAAGGAAAGUUUGUCUUUCGAUGUUAAGGCCAUCACAACAUUUAAAAUCCAUGCAAUCAGAGUUCCCUGGUGGCCUAGUGGUUAAGAAUUUGGCAUUGUCGCUAUUUGGCUCAGGUUUGAUCCCUGGCCAGGGAACUUCUUAAUGGCACGAGCGCAGCCAAAAAAAUAAAAUCUAUGCAACCAAACAGCCUAAGAGGAGCAUCAAAUGUUGGCUCAUGUUCCAAAUUUUCCUGUUACCCACAGCCAUUAUCCUUUUCAAAGAGAAAUAAUGGAUUAAUAACAUAAUCUUUUGAAUUGACAUGAAACUUUCAUUUUCUAUUAAAAAUUUAAGUACAAUGUGUAAAAUGGUUACCUUCUAAAUGCUGUUUCAUAUUCUCUCUCUGCGAAUUUCCCUGUUCCCACACCUCCAAAAACUCAAUCUUUUCCCCCAAAAUGUAAAUCAGCUAAAUUCUAAAAUGAAGAACUGAUCCCCAUUGACUAAGAAAAAUUUAGCCCUUUACGCAGAAAUGGAAAUUCCCUGUUUCCAGAGAUUUACAGUCUAAAUGGACAGAAAUCAUCUGGUAUCAUUUAGUGAGGACCAAGGCAUCCCCCGGCUGUGUUAGGUAGAGAGGCUUAAUUCAGGAUUUCUCAGCUUUGACACCAAUGACACUUUGGGCCAGAGAGUUCUUUUCUUGUGGGGUCAUCCUGUCCAUUGUGAACCAUUUAGCCUUAUGUUUGGCCUCUCCCCACUUCAUGCCGAUAGCAGACUCCCAGUUGUGAUAACUGCGAAUACCUCUAGGUAUUGCCACAUACCCCCCGGGGUAGGGAGGGUGGAACCACCUUCAGCAGAGAACCACUGCCCUGUGUACAUUCGGAAGGCAGAUAACAUCAGGCUUUAGAGCCAGUCCUACAAGCAGCAAACACCAGCUCUGCCUCUGAGGAGCCAUAUGCCCUCCUUAACCCCUUCAAGCUUUAGUUUCUUCCUGAAAAAUGUAAAUGUAAUAGGUGCCAGUAAAACCCAUUCUCAGUCCUGGAGAGACUAAAGGGGAAAAUGAACAUGAAAUGCUUAGCAUAGCACCUGAUAUAUAUUACAAGUUUGUAAUAGCUAAUAUUUAUGACUAUUAGUUACUACCAUACAUCAAGUAUCGAUUUUGCUGGAAUUAAAAUACCACUAUUUGUAAUCUAACAUAAACCCGCAUGCAAUUGGAUUUUUAAAGAGUUCCACACGAGUUGAGGCUCUUAGGGCUUCAAGGUGAACAUCAAGAGCUACUGCUGUACAGCUGAAGAAAGCAUGCAAAAGUAUCAGGCAUAGGAUUAAAGAGGAAGAAAAUUGUUCUAGUUGUAGAAGAGACUCUAAUUGUCUCCUAGUACCUGUGGUCCCUUCUUCCCCAAUGAUAACAACAGCAUCAUAUUUCCCAAACUCCCUCCUAAGUAGGAGGAGGCCGUGUAAAUAAAAGCAAGCCUUGUAGGUACAACUGCUGAGCUGUGUCUUUAAAAGUCUGUUCCUUCUUAUUCUUUAACCAACCUGCUGCUUAGAAUAUGCAUGGCCACCGCAGACACACCAGUGAGACCAAGUCGUAAGAACCACACCCAAGAGAUGAUGAAGCAGAAAGCUGGCAGCAGCCUGGGUCCCACAUAUCUGUAGUGUGGCCCUGCCAUUUCAACUCUGAACUGACUACAUCUUGACUUUAAAGAGAGAAAUGGAUGAAGAAAACGUCUGUCUUACUGAAACCGCUAUGAUUUUGACUUGCUCUUAGUCACAGCCAAACAGAUACAAUGUUUAGCACUGGCUUAAAACUGUAAUACCAAGCAGUCAUCCAGCUAGGGUCCAAAAUUACUAUAUGGCUCAAUAUUUAAUAAAAUUGCCUCUUAGGAUGCCCAGCUCACCCAAAGUGUAGCCCUUGGCCACAUGGCUGAAAAUUCAAGAUAUUGUCCUUGCUCCUUUUAGUAAAGAAGUUUGAGCAAAAUUAGCUCCAACUCAAACUAGCCAGUUGCAGAAAUGGGAGUAAAUAUAGUUAAAUCUGGGGUCGUUUAAGAAUUAAAAAGUGAAUUGUUUCUGUAUCUUAACCAAAUCCUUUUUAAAAAGGAAUUUUAGACAUCGCAGGAAGUAAGUUUGUUUUCAGCCUCCGUCAUGUGAGAGUUUUCUGACAGUGGAAACCAGCCUGGCAGCAAAGAUCAGAUCCAAGGCCUUGCCUUCCUAUCAAGCCUCAUUUUCUAGAUGACCCUGCGGGGAGGGUCAUAGGCUGAACCGUGCUCCCCCAAAUUUACAUGUCGAAGUUCUAUUCCCCAGUAUGUCAGAAUGUGACUAAAUUCAGAGAUAGGACUAAAUUUUAGGAACUAAUUAGGUUAAAAUAAAGUCUUUGGGAUGGGUGCCACUUCAGUAAUGCUAGUGUCCUUAGAAGAAGAUUAGGCUGUGCGCACACAUGCGGAAGACCACGUCAAGACACAGGAAAGAGACCUUGGGCUAGAAGACGAGGAGAGAGGCCCCAGAGGAAAUCAACCUGCUGACACCUUGGUCGUGGACUCCCCGCCUCCAGAAUGGUGAGGAAAUAAACUUCCGUUGUUUAAGCCACCCUCUCUGUGAUGCUUCCUGCGGCAGCCCCGGCAAACUCAUACAGGCAGGCAGAGCGGUAAGCAGCACACAGGGGUCCGUAAGUAGAAGACAGGAUUUAGUUUUUCAAACCAUGAGCACAUGAAUUCUUCAGCUCUGCUUACUCAAUGGGGUACUAAGCAGAAACAAAUAGACCAGACAGUCACUCGUUUGGCAAGGAAAUUGUAUUGCCAAAGAAACCACAAGCCUGGCCUGACAAACCUUGUGAUCAUUCAAGCCCUAAAGCAACCUCUGGAACCCAAACCCUCCACCAGCAGGAAGGAGUCUGAGACAGAGGCCACAGUAUCCAGAGCUGGCCUCAGAUGUGGUCUGGGAGGAUAAUGGCAAAAGAGGUCUCCUCCCAGAAAGUCAGAACCAAGAGGCACCGGAGGCCCUCAGCAGGAGACUUACUCCUUCUCAGUGCUUCUUCACUCUGGUCCAGCAGGAUUUGGCAACUGCUACAGCCUAAUGACUGAGAAGUGUGUGCCUUCUCUCCUUUUCAAAGAGGAGUUUUUACUGUAAUUAUGAUGUUCCUUCUGCUGAUGAGAUGGGACAGGGAACGUAUGGACCUAAAAGAAACUUUCUUCUGACCAUAGAAGGGAUCAAGCAUCACCCAGAGAUCCUGAACCAUGAGCUUACUGCAAUAACGGGACAGGAUUUUGAGUUGACUCCUUUGAGAGCGGGGUGAGUGUCCUCUACCUGCGAAACAGAGAUCCACAGAGCUGUUUACGUUUCCACCUGGACAGAUCAUGGUAGAGCGUGUCGGGUGCCUCUACAUUUAUUUUCCACUUCUUCCUCAUUAUUAGACAUCCACAAUGGUAUCUGGGUCCACGACUGCUCAAACAUUUCUCAGCUUCCCCUACAACUAAGUGCGACUAUGUGAUAAAGUUCUGACCAUGGGAAGUAAGCAGACAUGAUGUAUGUAACUUCUGAGGUGUGUCCUUAAAAGUAGGAAGCCUCCCCCUUCAUAGUUUUUUGUCCUGUUUCAUGGACUUGAACGUAAGGUCGGUGCUUCAUCCACGAGGACGAGAGUCACAUACUCAGUUCACCAUGUGUGGUGAGGUGGAUAGUUGGAAGCAACCUGGGUCCCAGAUGACUGACAAGCCAUACUUUUGACCUCUGUGGCUAUAGUUUUUAUAUCAAAUAGACACACACACACAGUGAAGUUUUGAAGUUAGACGUGAUAUAUAUAUAUAUUACUAAAACCAGUGAUAUUUUGGCAUCCCUAUUAUUCCCAAUAGAACCCAUAACUCAGCUAAUAGACUGAUCUUAUGUUUCCUUUUGUCUGUGGGCCUGAAAAAAUAACAACAGAAUAAGAACUAAAGCAGAAAACUAUCACAUGAUUCUUAAUUCUACUUCCCCUGACCCCUUGAGGAAAUGUGUCAUUCAUACUCUGCCUCUGUGUAUCGCAAAUGAGUCUGAGAAAAGCCAAAGAGACAGAGUAGGAAGCUGAAUCAAAAAUGGGAGAGAUGUGACCAAGGCGGGGUGAAUGGUUGAGAAGCAGACCGCGGUGACUCGCCUCCCUGCACGCUGUCCUCACAGUGAGUCCAAAGAAAGGAUGCUUGAGAAGGACGGAAAAGAAAUUCAGAGAUGCACAUCCUGAAAUGGGCUGUGCCGAUUUUCCCGACCCUCCAGGUCCAUCCGCGUCCACCGAUGAUUUCAAAGUGAAACGAUGACUUCCAUGGAUUUUAAAUGGGAUCCGGAGAUAACGGAAAGGGAAACAGCAUCUUGUUUGAAACGUGCUCCUUGGUGCACACAGGCUCACGCAAGGACCGUGGCUGUCACCCACAUGAUUCGCACUGCCAUUAAUGCGCAUUGAUAAAGUGUUGAUAAAGCCACAGCCACCACAUUCCACCUUUCAGUGAAUCUGCAUUCCUGCACAUUGUUUAGAAACCAUCGUGGGGAUAGCACAGCGAUUUCUGCAGCAAAUAACACGGAUCCUCAUCCACGACAGACUUGCAUAAUCGUUUGCAUAGACCCCGUGAGCCGAAGCAUUUGGAGAAAUAUUGUUUAGUCCAGCAACGUGGUAACAGUCACUGCAUAAAUCACUCCAAGAAGUUAUAUGAAAAAAAGUAGUGACGGGACCGAGCUCAAGCAUAAACUUUUUCCUUCUAAGUGUAAGAAAACCACGUACAUCGAAGCUCCUGCAGUUCUUCAUCAUUUGCUCGGCAGUGGAGCUGAUCAGAAUUCCCUCCGAUGCUCUUCAAGAUGUCCAGGAAGAGGAGUUUAGGAUACGGACAGUCCACUACGCAGGGGUGACCAUGUGAGGACACAGCAAGAAGGUGGCCAAGCCAUCCGCAAACCAAGAAGAGAGGCCUCAGAACAAACCAAGCCUGCGGACACCUGGACCUUGGAUUUCCAGCCUCCAGAACUGUGAGAAAAUACAUUUUGUUUUUGCUUUUGUUUUCAUUUAAGCUACCCACUCUAUACUAUUUUUGUUAUGACAGCCCUAGCAAACUAAUAUACUCACCUUUGGGCAACAAACAAAUAUACCUAUUGAGUAUAAGCUGGACAAUCUUGCUUAACCCUGCACAGUGGCAGGAGAGAGAGGGAGAGGGAGAUACUUGCAUUCGAAGUAAGCUCUAGGUAAUUCCACCGUGUGUUUGAUGCCAAUACAGAAUGAAGGAGUAAAGGUGUCAUAUUAGAGGCAGCCAGGUGUUGGUGUCAGCCAGGACAGUUUGUUUCAACCCUGUUACUUCCCAGUCGUGUGACCUCGAGCCAGUCCUCUCUUUCUGCGCUUGUGUCCUGAUCUGUAAGAUGGGAAUGGUCCCUCCCUGACAGGUCGAGAGGACCUCAGGAGAUACUAAAUAUCCAGAGCUUUACACCAAGUCUAGCACGGAGAAAACAGUAAAGGAAGGCCACUGUUGUCUAUCUUAACAGUCACCCCAGAAGAUCGUAACAGAUCACUGCCAGAAGAUGAGGGUCUAAGCUGCUUAGUGACAAUCAGAUCACGAUCUCAUCUGAGUAUCAGCUUUGGCUCUUCGAACCCUGCUUGCAGCCACGUGUCUAUUAAAGAAGCAAGUAACUGAUGGGGGGAUUGCAUUCAAAGGCCAAUGACGAGUGACAUAUCAUCCAUGUGGAGAAGACUUUCCAGCUGUGUUUCACUGGGAUUAGCCCUACGUUUUUUUAUCUUUACUAGUGUUCAGAAUAAAGGAAUUGGAAAAAAAAGAAAAAACACAUAAAAACAUGGUGAUAAUUAAAACAACAGCAAGUACUAUUUGAAGGGUCUGUCUGUGUCAAGUGGUGUAUAUCAUCUUUUAAUAUAAUCUUCCCAACUCCCCUUUGAACCGUGUGUCAUUGCCAACAUGUGACAAGUGAAGAAACCAAAACUGAAACUCAUAAAGCCAGUAAGUGGUGGAGGCAGGAUUUAAAGCUGGGUGUGUCUGACUCCAAAUGAUUUUCUCUUCCCCUCCCGUAUGCGCAGAGCAAGGGAACGCAAAACAAUAUCUACUAAGAAAAAAUGACUUGGGAACGGAUACGAAGUACGUAGUAUUGUGUUUAAAUGUCGUAAAGUCUGUUAUUGAAAAUAUGGAUUGGGUUUCAUAGAAUCAGUAGAAUCAAAACUAGGAACGGGUGUUCUUGCAGUGGCCCAGUGGGUUAAGGAUCCAGCAUUGCCACAGCUGUGGUGUAGGUCACAGCUCUGGCUUAGAUUCAGUCCCUGGCCAGGAAACGUCCAUAUGCCAAGGGCAGAUCCAAAAAACAAAAACAAAAGCAAAACCUGGGAGUGCAAGUUAUGGGGGCCAGCAUACAGCUCAACAUAGAAUUUCCUAGUAGAAAAGUCAAAAAAUGGAAUAGAUUUCUUCAAGAAUAUUCACAUAAUCGUUUGGCAAGAAAGUUGCAAAAGUUGUCUUCACGUAUUGGCUACAUGGUUGUAAUCAAUGACUUUUGAGGUCCCUCUCAGACCUAAAACCAUCUAUGAAUUUCUCUCUACCUGCCAGGGGUGCACAGGUAAUAGAAGUACGGAGGCCUCCACUUACUGGAGGCCUAAAAUCAGCACUCAGCCUCCAGGCAGACAUGUUUGGUCCCAGUCCCAGGAAAACUGGAGUGCGAGGCAGAGAAGGAGGACUAGCCACCGCACGAAGGAACAUGGCCUGUCCAUUGUUCUGACCGCUGAGCCGUAAAUCAUGGGCAGAGAAAACAAAGCCAGGUCCCGUCUGAAGCAAGACGUCUCGGCGAUAGAUUCAAAUUCCUGUCUCAGCACCGGCAAGCUGUGUGUCUGUGGCCAGGUUUCAUAGUGAAUGCUCUCUAAAUGUUGGUUUACAUUCUUAAUAUUCCUGAGUAUAGAUUUUGUCCUAGGAUGUGGGGCAGAGCCAAAGGUAAUCACAUGCUUACCCUUUCUCAGAGGAUGAUAGGAAUACAGAAGUAAGAACUUCGGUAAACCAGGGAGUCUUCUACUUUUAAACUAGAAAAUACGAAAAAGCUCCGCUUCUGAGAACUGAUACCAACUUAUGGAAGUUUCUGAACUUAAGAAAAGUCUUAAGCCUAAACUGUGGUUGAAGUUUCCUGUCAUGGUUCUUCCCUUACAUGAAAUAGUUUAUGUGAACAGUUCAGUUCAAGACGCACUUACCAGAAAGUUCCCAUUGUGGCUCAGCAGUAAUGAACCUGACUAGUAUCCAUGAGGAUGCAGGUUCAAUCC
Non-coding RNA from Sus scrofa (pig), 7520 nucleotides. The record is from RefSeq and is a predicted model, not a curated record. NCBI's taxonomy places the organism in Eukaryota, Metazoa, Chordata, Mammalia, Artiodactyla, Suidae.